GAUGAACGCUGGCGGCGUGCUUAACACAUGCAAGUCGAACGAAGCACUUUAUUUGAUUUCCUUCGGGACUGAUUAUUUUGUGACUGAGUGGCGGACGGGUGAGUAACGCGUGGGUAACCUGCCUUGUACAGGGGGAUAACAGUUGGAAACGGCUGCUAAUACCGCAUAAGCGCACGGCAUCGCAUGAUUCAGUGUGAAAAACUCCGGUGGUAUAAGAUGGGCCCGCGUUGGAUUAGCUAGGUGGUGAGGUAACGGCCCACCCAGGCGACGAUCCGUAGCCGACCUGAGAGGGUGACCGGGCACAUUAGGAGUGGGACACGGCCCGAACUCCGGCGGGAGGGAGCAAUGGGGAAUAAUGCACACUGGGCGAAUGCAGGAUGCAGCGAGGCCGCAUGAGCGAAGAAGUAUUUCGGUAUGUAAGGCUCUAUCAGCAGGGAAGUUAUGACGGUACCUGAAGAAGAAGCACCGGCUAAAUACGUG
RNAcentral lists this ribosomal RNA (480 nucleotides) under uncultured bacterium. RNAcentral's name for it is "partial 16S ribosomal RNA". It matches the Rfam family "Bacterial small subunit ribosomal RNA", at positions 28 to 507 of the family's 1533-position model. The record is from RNAcentral.